ACCAUUUCUGGCCCCACUAGGCUGUGUCCUUCAGUCCCACAGCUUAGACAAACAAAAAUAACAUGGGCGUUUCUUCGACGCUUAACCAGCUUUGUCGAACACAGAAAAGUGCCCCUCCAAUCGGUUCAGCUGCAGCUAGCUUGGCUACCAACUUCUCUCUCAGUACUCUUUACACACUUAAGUAGGUGACCAAUGCAGAGUUCAAAACAAGCCAGCUUCAAUAUUUAAAAAACAGAGAGGGUUUACAGUAGACUUACCUUUUAUAACAUUACUAAAAAUCGUGGCUUUGAAUUCUUCUUUGGCCUUCUGAUCGAAGUCCUGCCCAUGGAUAAUGCGCAUCUGCUUGAGAAAAGUGGACUUGCCGCUCUCGCCUGCUCCAAAUUUCCGCAACUGUUCUACCUCGCCGCUUGUGAGGAGACAAUUGGGGAAGCAUACAGAUAAGAAGGAGCGGGACGGCAGGAAAUCCGCCAUCUUUGAAACAACUUCAUCGAUACAGACAGCGAGGAGGGCUGAGCUCACCCAAGUCCGCUGUUGCAUUCAAGUGUCGUAGGAAACCAAUUGAAUGUAACUUCCACCUCAACUGUCAAGGGAGCAGUUUAACCAUUGAUAUCCAGUCUGUACUGAAAUGAAGCAGGACAUUCAGAUUUGCCAAAAAUAAUGUGGUUCACUGGCAAAUGCUGCGUUGGACAUUUCUUAAAUAAAUUGAAUUGUGGCGACACUCA
This is a long non-coding RNA of Micropterus dolomieu (smallmouth bass), 722 nucleotides long. RefSeq lists it as uncharacterized. NCBI's taxonomy places the organism in Eukaryota, Metazoa, Chordata, Actinopteri, Centrarchiformes, Centrarchidae. The record is from RefSeq and is a predicted model, not a curated record. The transcript has 2 exons.